UACAGAGGUCUCAAGCGUUGUUCGGAUUCAUUGGGCGUAAAGGGUGCGUAGGCGGCGCGGUAAGUCGGGUGUGAAAUCUCGGGGCUUAACUCCGAAACUGCAUUCGAUACUGCCGUGCUUGAGGACUGGAGAGGAGACUGGAAUUUACGGUGUAGCGGUGAAAUGCGUAGAUAUCGGAAGGAACACCUGUGGCGAAAGCGGCUCACUGGACCAUAACUGACGCUGAGGCGCGAAAGCUAGGGGAGCAAACAGG
This 253-nucleotide ribosomal RNA is filed under the name uncultured bacterium. RNAcentral describes it as "partial 16S ribosomal RNA". It matches the Rfam family "Bacterial small subunit ribosomal RNA", at positions 524 to 776 of the family's 1533-position model. The record is from RNAcentral.